GGUUCCCGUCCGCGGCUCUCCCUCCACACCUCCCCGCAAGCAGAGGGAGCCGGCUCUGGCCUCGGCCAGCUCAGAGACGGGCUCCCACAGUGCAGCGGCAGGCUGAAGGGCUCCUCAAGCACUGCCAGAGUGGACGCCGAGCCGAGGAGUAGCCAAGAGCGAUGAAACAAGCUUCCGGUUCAAGGGUUUCUUCAGGUUCCACUACGGGCUGUUCUUCUGCAGGUGCGCCGAUGUCCACAGUGCUACCUUCUGAUGAGCUACUGCUUUCAUUCAGUUUCUGCUGACUUAAUAUGUGAGCUGACAGAAUGCAGAGACGACCACGUUGUAUGUGAAGCAUCCACUUUGCCUUGUACACCAGGGCAUUCAAUAACCACUUAAUAACUACAACCCUGAUGAUCCGAUUCACUACUAAAGUCUUCCGUGUUUAAAUUUUCAAAGUCAGAUUCUCCUACAGCAAUUGGUACAGUCACAGUAAGACUAGGAUUGUUUAUGAAUGACAUGUAAUCACUUUCAUCAAUAAUGUAUUUUUCAACACUGCUGCCAGUUCCUAUACCACUUGUAGUUCCAUUUACAUCUUUAAGAUAGUCAAGAUCUUUCCCAAUUUCUGUUGUAUGAUUGGACAUACAACUGUUUUUCUUGUUGUUUAGAUCAUCAAGUGGUUUAAUUUCAUCUAAAAUCUUUUGUUUCCUAACGAAGGACUGUUGAAUAAAUUCAU
Molecule: non-coding RNA, 715 nt
Filed under: Pongo abelii (Sumatran orangutan)
Lineage: Eukaryota; Metazoa; Chordata; Mammalia; Primates; Hominidae
Source: RNAcentral